RNAcentral lists this small nuclear RNA (163 nucleotides) under Dasypus novemcinctus (nine-banded armadillo). Its description in RNAcentral is "U1 spliceosomal RNA (ENSDNOG00000047480.1)". It matches the Rfam family "U1 spliceosomal RNA". From Rfam's summary of the family: U1 is a small nuclear RNA (snRNA) component of the spliceosome (involved in pre-mRNA splicing). Its 5' end forms complementary base pairs with the 5' splice junction, thus defining the 5' donor site of an intron. The record is from RNAcentral. Lineage: Eukaryota; Metazoa; Chordata; Mammalia; Cingulata; Dasypodidae.
ACACUUAUCUGGCAGGGGAGAUACCAGGACCACAAAGGUGGUUUUCCCAGGGUGAAGCUUACCCAUUGCCCUCUGAUGUGCUGCCCCCUGUGAUUUCCCCGAAUGUGGGAAACUCAACUGCAUAAUUGGUGGGAGUGGGGGACUGCAUUCACGCUCUCUUCUU